Long non-coding RNA from Pezoporus occidentalis (night parrot), 1994 nucleotides. RefSeq lists it as uncharacterized. The transcript is spliced from 3 exons. Lineage: Eukaryota; Metazoa; Chordata; Aves; Psittaciformes; Psittacidae. The record is from RefSeq and is a predicted model, not a curated record.
GGCUUUUCUCAGUGUCUGAGCUGAUGUGGCUCUUGAAAGCCUUUAACUUAGGGGUCAGUCAGCAAGAACUGACAGGGCUUGGUGUGUAAAAGAAGCUAGUCAUGGUAUCUGUCAUCUUCACGAGUAAGUUGUAGGUUUUGUACAGGUUGGGAUCAAGCAAUCUCAAUAGCUUUGACUAAAAUGUUAGAGGCAGAAAACUGGACCUAAGUGCAUGCAUGGAAAAACUGCCCACACCUCCAUGCUUGUCAGUGAAUUAAUUUGGUUCAGAAUGGGGAUAAGAGAUCAGAAACAGGAUGAAAAGUGAGAGCUAGGCUGCCUUGGAUUAUCUGAUGCUUGGGAUUUAAGAAAGUAUAUGGUCUGAUGACAAUCUACAGCCACAUACUUAGGCUUCUCAGCCGGUAGGUUUUGCAUGAAGAAAGUAUUUGCAGAGAUGUUUGUAAGAAAAAGAGCAGUUGGGCUGCCUGGGCUUCUCUUUAGAUUUUCAUUUCAGAAGACAAGCCCAAGCAGUGAACUCUGAAGUGUUCAAAUUCUGGUGUAGACAAGAAGUGAGGAGAUGUGGGCAGCACCUCAAAUCUCACAGCAUGUUUAUGGUCCCUUUGUUGCGCGCAGCCUGUCACAUGGCAUUUGAAAGCUUUUGUGAAAACAAUAGUAAGAAAAUUAUUUUCUAAAGAGGAAGCCUGAGAAAGAAAAGAUUUAGUCGUGGAACUCUGCUAUCCCCCAGCCUCUCUAUUUGUUUUGAUGGAAACUGAGUACAUUACAAGUUGAUUGCUUCUUUUUUUUCCAGGUUUCAAAGAUGGGGAUGCAGGAGGAUGGAAGCCAAGACCUCUGUGCAGAAGAAGCAGAGCCUUCCCCAAACUGGGAUGGCAAGAGUUGAAAGGAAGUUUUGCCUUCACAGCAGCUGCCAAAAUCAAACUCUUUUCAAGUGUUUUUGAUGUGACUUGCAGGAGGUGCAACUACUGGGAGCUGUGUGCAAACAGGAACCCUGCAGAUUUCUUCCAAUCCUGGCGACAAAGGUGUGACAUUUAUGAUUUGUGACUGUUAUUCCACACGUGUGAAUUGCUGAAAAAAACCCAAAAGCUUUUGAAAAGGCAACUUCCAUUUGUGACUGAUGCAGUUUGUAAAUGAGAAAGUGCCAACAUUGGAGUGCUGGCUGGUUUAGCUCAAGGUACCAACUGCUUCCCAGGAUGACCUGCUGCCUGGAGCUGACUGCUCCAAUGCUGUUAACAAUGCUCUUUCAAUAAGGGGAGUGUUAUUACUGCAUAGCUUUAUCUUGGCUAACAAUUAUGUGUGAAGUCACCGUACUUCUAGCAAAAAAAUGGGCAAACAGUGGAAAUUAAUCUCAUGGAAAACCAUUUUGAUGAGUCCAUAGUUUAUCUAGUUAGAUAUUUUGCCUCCAAUGAUGUUACGAACAGCCCUGGGAAAAAGGUAAACUGCCAAAUACAGAGACCAAGGAAAAAUUCCCUAAUUUAUAAUAUUGAGGUAUUUGUAUAAGUUUCUGUAACUGCCAGUGGUAAUUCACCUCAUGCCAUUAUUACUCCCAUUAGUGCCUUUUUAGCCAUCUCCUUGGUUAUUUUUCUCAAUCACAUCCUUCAACAGUGACUGUUCCAUAAGUUAAAUAUGUGAUAAGUAAGCCAUUUGCACUUCCAGUUUUAAUUUCACUGCAUUAGUUUAUAUAGGAGUCUCAGAUUUAUCCCAGGUAGAUUAUUCAUUAAUCCACUCCUGCUCGUCUUCAUGUGAGCUAACCUGUAGUACAGAAGCAAGAAGGCCCAUACAUCAAGGCAUUUUUGUUUCCAGUCUUGAUAAUGAUUCUUUCUGCUGCAUCUUUUGCAGUGAAGCAGCUGCAUCUGUGACACUAGAUUAAGAGGAUGCCUCUUUUUUUUUGACUCUAACAGUAUAAGGCUUUUAGUGUCAUUCUCUUUCACUUAACACACAUUUACAAUACAAAAAAUGUUCCACCUGGAAAGAUUUAAUAUUAAAAUACUCGUCAGUUUAAA